RNAcentral lists this ribosomal RNA (1446 nucleotides) under Asiorrhina parasiatica. RNAcentral's name for it is "partial 28S ribosomal RNA". It matches the Rfam family "Eukaryotic large subunit ribosomal RNA", at positions 402 to 1578 of the family's 3401-position model. Lineage: Eukaryota; Metazoa; Arthropoda; Insecta; Diptera; Keroplatidae. The record is from RNAcentral.
AAACCGCUUAGGGGUUAAACCCGAUGAACCUGAAUAUCUGAAUUGGGAAAUUCAAUAUGAUUCAAUUAUUUUUAAUUUUUAUUAAUAAAAAAAUUGUAUGCACUUUUCCCAUAGUAAGCCAUUGCAAUCCAUUAAUUAUUUUAACAUUAUUUUGUAAUGUUAAUCGGUUUAUUAAAAGGCCCAAUUGUUUUGUUUAUUCUAGCUGUGGUAAUUUCUCCAAUUAUCAUAUGGAUAAUAGCAACGCGGUGACCCAAUAAACAUUUGAUGGAGUUUAUGAAUCAUCCAAACAUAUUUGUUUAUGUAACACGGUCAAUAUACAUAUAUUUUUAUUUAUGUUGGCGCAGGUGUUCGGAUGCAUUCGAUUGGCAAUGCGAUAGAUUUGGGAUACCUUCGGGACCCGUCUUGAAACACGGACCAAGAAGUUUAACAUAGGCGCAAGUCAUUGGGUAGAUUGUUGAAACCUAAGGGCGUAAUUAAAAUAACUAGUUUUUUUUAACGAAUGGGAUUACAAGAAUUUUUUUUUUUAUUUAUUGAAAAAAAUGUUCUUCUCCAUCCCGGGGCGUUCUAUACGAACAUGAUUUAAGCGAUUGAGUCCUCUGUUCAAGAGCGUACCUUGAGCGUUUAUGCUGAGACCCGAAAGAUGGUGAACUAUACCUGAUCAGGUUGAAGUCAGGGGAAACCCUGAUGGAGGACUGAAGCAGUUCUGACGUGCAAAUCGAUUGUCAGAAUUGGGUAUAGGGGCGUAAGACCAAUCGAACCAUCUAGUAGCUGGUUCCCUCCGAAGUUUCCCUCAGGAUAGCUGGUGCAAUUAAAAUUCUAAUAUAUAAUCUUAUCUGGUAAAGCGAAUGAUUAGAGGCCUUGGGGCCGAAACGACCUCAACCUAUUCUCAAACUUUAAAUGGGUAAGAACCUCAUCUUUCUUGAUGUGAAGAUAUAGAGGUUUAGAUAUAUUGUGCCCAGUGGGCCACUUUUGGUAAGCAGAACUGGCGCUGUGGGAUGAACCAAACGUGAUGUUACGGCGCCUAAAUUAAUGACUCAUAUUGAUACCAUGAAAGGCGUUGGUUGCUUAAAACAGCAGGUCGGUGGGCAUGGAAGUCGUCAUCCGCUAAGGAGUGUGUAACAACUCACCUGCCGAAGCAACUAGCCCUUAAAAUGGAUGGCGCUCAAGUCAUAUGCCUAUACAUCACCGCUAAAGUAUUUGAUUAUUUUCAAUUAUAUUUUUGUGUGAUAAUUGUGAAACUUUAGUGAGUAGGAGGGUACAAUGGUGUGCGCAGAAGUGUUUGGCGUGAGCCUGCAUGGAGCCGCCAUUGGCACAGAUCUUGGUGGUAGUAGCAAAUAAUCGAAUGAGAUCUUGGAGGACUGAAGUGGAGAAGGGUUUCGUGUGAACAGUGGUUGAUCACGAGUUAGUCGGUCCUAAGCUCUAUGCGAAAGCUGUUUAAUUUAUGUA